AUUGAACGCUGGCGGCAGGCCUAACACAUGCAAGUCGAACGAGUGGCGGACGGGCGAGUAAUGGCUGGGCAACUGCCUGACGGAGGGGGAUAACUACUGGAAACGGUAGCUAAUACCGCAUACCGUCGGAUCGGCCCAGGUGGGAUUAGCUAGUGGGUGGGGUAACGGCUCACCUAGGCGACGAUCCCUAGCUGGCCUGAGAGGAUGACCAGCCACACUGGAACUGAGACACGGUCCAGACUCCUACGGGAGGCAGCAGUGGGGAAUAUUGCGCAAUGGGCGCAAGCCUGAUGCAGCCAUGCCGCGUGUAUGAAGAAGGUCUUCGGGUUGUAAAGUACUUUCAGCGGGGAGGCGUUACCCGACGAGAAAGCACCGGCUAACUCCGUGCCAGCAGCCGCGGUAAUUC
Molecule: ribosomal RNA, 406 nt
Filed under: uncultured bacterium
Lineage: Bacteria
Description: partial 16S ribosomal RNA
Rfam family: Bacterial small subunit ribosomal RNA
Source: RNAcentral